Molecule: ribosomal RNA, 775 nt
Filed under: Phoma sp. 203
Lineage: Eukaryota; Fungi; Ascomycota; Dothideomycetes; Pleosporales; Didymellaceae
Description: eukaryotic LSU rRNA
Rfam family: Eukaryotic large subunit ribosomal RNA
Source: RNAcentral
UUGACCUCGGAUCAGGUAGGGAUACCCGCUGAACUUAAGCAUAUCAAUAAGCGGAGGAAAAGAAACCAACAGGGAUUGCCCUAGUAACGGCGAGUGAAGCGGCAACAGCUCAAAUUUGAAAUCUGGCGUCUUCGGCGUCCGAGUUGUAAUUUGCAGAGGGCGCUUUGGCAUCGGCAGCGGUCCAAGUUCCUUGGAACAGGACGUCACAGAGGGUGAGAAUCCCGUACGUGGUCGCUAGCCUUUACCGUGUAAAGCCCCUUCGACGAGUCGAGUUGUUUGGGAAUGCAGCUCUAAAUGGGAGGUAAAUUUCUUCUAAAGCUAAAUACUGGCCAGAGACCGAUAGCGCACAAGUAGAGUGAUCGAAAGAUGAAAAGCACUUUGGAAAGAGAGUUAAAAAGCACGUGAAAUUGUUGAAAGGGAAGCGCUUGCAGCCAGACUUGCCUGUAGUUGCUCAUCCGGGUUUCUACCCGGUGCACUCUUCUAUAGGCAGGCCAGCAUCAGUUUGGGCGGUUGGAUAAAGGUCUCUGUCAUGUACCUCUCUUCGGGGAGAACUUAUAGGGGAGACGACAUGCAACCAGCCCGGACUGAGGUCCGCGCAUCUGCUAGGAUGCUGGCGUAAUGGCUGUAAGCGGCCCGUCUUGAAACACGGACCAAGGAGUCUAACAUCUAUGCGAGUGUUUGGGUGUCAAGCCCGAGCGCGUAAUGAAAGUGAACGGAGGUGGGAACCUUUCGGGGUGCACCAUCGACCGAUCCUGAUGUCUUCGGAUGGAUUUGA